Molecule: transfer RNA, 85 nt
Filed under: Felis catus (domestic cat)
Lineage: Eukaryota; Metazoa; Chordata; Mammalia; Carnivora; Felidae
Also listed under: 1 other name
Rfam family: tRNA
About the family: Transfer RNA (tRNA) molecules are approximately 80 nucleotides in length. Their secondary structure includes four short double-helical elements and three loops (D, anti-codon, and T loops). Further hydrogen bonds mediate the characteristic L-shaped molecular structure. tRNAs have two regions of fundamental functional importance: the anti-codon, which is responsible for specific mRNA codon recognition, and the 3' end, to which the tRNAs corresponding amino acid is attached (by aminoacyl-tRNA synthetases). tRNAs cope with the degeneracy of the genetic code in two manners: having more than one tRNA (with a specific anti-codon) for a particular amino acid; and 'wobble' base-pairing, i.e. permitting non-standard base-pairing at the 3rd anti-codon position.
Source: Rfam by way of RNAcentral
ACCUGGGUGGCUCAGUCCGUUAAGCGUCUGACUUCAGCUCAGGUCACGAUCUCGUGGUGCGUGGGUUCGAGCCCCGCUUCGGGCU